ACAGUUAUAGUAUAAGUUAUUACUUUACAUUUUCAUUGUAAAAAUGAACAUUAGGUUCUAACAGUU
RNAcentral lists this transfer RNA (66 nucleotides) under Daphnia pulex (common water flea). RNAcentral describes it as "tRNA-Glu". RNAcentral also lists the same sequence under 1 other name. The record is from RNAcentral. Lineage: Eukaryota; Metazoa; Arthropoda; Branchiopoda; Diplostraca; Daphniidae.